AUUGAACGCUGGCGGCAUGCCUUACACAUGCAAGUCGAACGGCAGCACGGGGCAACCUGGUGGCGAGUGGCGAACGGGUGAGUAAUGCAUCGGAACGUACCUUUCAGUGGGGGAUAACGCGCCGAAAGGUACGCUAAUCCCGCAUACGCUCCUUAGGGAGGAAAGCCGCAAGGCGCAGACGGAGUGGCCCGCGGCCCAUCAGGUCGUUGGUGGGGUAAUGGCCUACCAAGCCGAUGACGGGUAGCUGGUCUGAGAGGACAGACAGCCAGACUGGGAUUGAGAGACGGCCCAGACUCCUACGGGAGGCAGCAGCAAGGAAUUUUCGUCAAUGGGCGCAAGCCUGAACGAGCAACGCCGCGUGGAGGAUGACGGCUUUCGGGUUGUAAACUCCUUUUUGGGGGGACGAUGAUGACGGUACCCCCGGAAUAAGCCCCGGCUAACUCUGUGCCAGCAGCCGCCGUAA
RNAcentral lists this ribosomal RNA (463 nucleotides) under uncultured bacterium. RNAcentral describes it as "partial 16S ribosomal RNA". It matches the Rfam family "Bacterial small subunit ribosomal RNA", at positions 29 to 523 of the family's 1533-position model. The record is from RNAcentral.